AAUUACAUGACAUCUAGACAACUAAAACAUUCUUGAUUGGUGCUUCGUUUUCAAGAAGACAUUAUUUGUAUUACAUAAUUCCAUGUAUGCCAUGUUAGUGUUAAGGUUGUGAUACGUUGUAUGUUUUAAUCCCUGAGUGCCUAUUGGGAAAUCAUUCAUUUUUCAAUAAAAAAAAAUGUGUACUUAUUUUUGAGAUAAUAAAGAAUACCCACCG
Molecule: long non-coding RNA, 214 nt
Filed under: Mytilus galloprovincialis (Mediterranean mussel)
Lineage: Eukaryota; Metazoa; Mollusca; Bivalvia; Mytilida; Mytilidae
Source: RNAcentral